Molecule: ribosomal RNA, 557 nt
Filed under: uncultured bacterium
Lineage: Bacteria
Description: bacterial SSU rRNA
Rfam family: Bacterial small subunit ribosomal RNA
Source: RNAcentral
UAGGGAAUCUUCGGCAAUGGACGGAAGUCUGACCGAGCAACGCCGCGUGAGUGAAGAAGGUUUUCGGAUCGUAAAGCUCUGUUGUAAGAGAAGAACGAGUGUGAGAGUGGAAAGUUCACACUGUGACGGUAUCUUACCAGAAAGGGACGGCUAACUACGUGCCAGCAGCCGCGGUAAUACGUAGGUCCCGAGCGUUGUCCGGAUUUAUUGGGCGUAAAGCGAGCGCAGAGCGCAGGCGGUUAGAUAAGUCUGAAGUUAAAGGCUGUGGCUUAACCAUAGUAGGCUUUGGAAACUGUUUAACUUGAGUGCAAGAGGGGAGAGUGGAAUUCCAUGUGUAGCGGUGAAAUGCGUAGAUAUAUGGAGGAACACCGGUGGCGAAAGCGGCUCUCUGGCUUGUAACUGACGCUGAGGCUCGAAAGCGUGGGGAGCAAACAGGAUUAGAUACCCUGGUAGUCCACGCUGUAAACGAUGAGUGCUAGGUGUUAGACCCCUUCCGGGGUUUAGUGCCGUAGCUAACGCAUUAAGCACUCCGCCUGGGGAGUACGACCGCAAGGUUG